This 297-nucleotide unclassified non-coding RNA is filed under the name Hevea brasiliensis (rubber tree). The record is from RNAcentral. Lineage: Eukaryota; Viridiplantae; Streptophyta; Magnoliopsida; Malpighiales; Euphorbiaceae.
UAAGUUCAAGUUUGAAUUAUAUUUGAUCAGUAAAAGAGAAAGGUAUCGUAUCAUUUUGUUAGGAUGUAAUUGAAUGAAAUAUAAUGUCAAAAAAUGAUAUUCCAGUCCAUUCAAUUUAAAGAAAACUCAAAGACAAUUUGUACGUUUAAUUUAACAGUUUGUGCUAUGUGUUUCCACUAAUACUAAAGUUAAUUUGUUUGGAACAUUUUGUCUUCAGGGGCUUCCAAAAUCAUCAGAUUCUUGAGACAACGUGACUGCAUCAGAGAUCAAAUCAGUGCUUGUCGAGAAAUACCAGGC